GCCAAUGCUCUGACUGCCCUAAGGAGUGGACGUGUAGUAGACAAUAAGAUUGGGGAGGGAAACAACAACGAAGGUAAAGAAGAAGAGAGAAAUGUAUCACAUGAAAAUCCAAAACCUUCUUCUUUUUCAGCUAGUCCACCAUCUGCCACAACUCACAUUCUAAAGGUCCCAUUUCCUGAUGCUCUCAAUUCACCCUCUCCCUUUGGCAAAAAAGGACUUCACUAGAGAGAUGAUGGAGGUUUUCAAACAGUCAAAAUCAACCUCCCGCUUCUUGAUGCUAUUAGACAAGUUCCAUCUUAUGCCAAAUUUC
This 310-nucleotide long non-coding RNA is filed under the name Phoenix dactylifera (date palm). Its description in RNAcentral is "long non-coding RNA (PDAC_LNC016645)". The record is from RNAcentral. Lineage: Eukaryota; Viridiplantae; Streptophyta; Magnoliopsida; Arecales; Arecaceae.